RNAcentral lists this transfer-messenger RNA (409 nucleotides) under Caldilineaceae. Its description in RNAcentral is "JACFMY01 sp019455155 Standard tmRNA". It matches the Rfam family "transfer-messenger RNA". Rfam says of the family: Bacterial tmRNA, also known as 10Sa RNA or SsrA, is named for its dual tRNA and mRNA-like properties. Its role is to liberate the mRNA from a stalled ribosome. To accomplish this part of the tmRNA is used as a reading frame that ends in a translation stop signal. Lineage: Bacteria; Bacillati; Chloroflexota; Caldilineae; Caldilineales. RNAcentral also lists the same sequence under 1 other name. The record is from RNAcentral.
GGGGAUGAACGGUCUCGACGGGGCAGGCUGUUCAGAGAUGGCAGGCCGUAGAGCGUCGACUACGUAAAAACAGGCGCAAACCUACAAAUGCCAAAAACACUGGCAUGGCUUUCAACUUCGGCGUUGCGGCUGCUCCGGCGGCCCUUGCUGCCUAAUUGAAGCCAACCACUGAUCCUUAACCAAGGAUCACGGCCCGCUCUGAUGGUGCAACCAGGUCAAGCGCAAGCCGUCACACACUGGUGAGCUGCAGCAGCCAAUACCGGUAAGGCUGCCUAAGGACUGACCGGCACGCCUGGCAGUGAAUCCUGUUGCACGGAGUCCGCCAGGUAAGACAAAUAGUGCGACUAAGCCUGUAGAUGUCUCUGGACGAACGUUUCGGACGCGGGUUCGACUCCCGCCAUCUCCACCA